RNAcentral lists this ribosomal RNA (315 nucleotides) under Triticum aestivum (bread wheat). Its description in RNAcentral is "partial small subunit ribosomal RNA". Lineage: Eukaryota; Viridiplantae; Streptophyta; Magnoliopsida; Poales; Poaceae. The record is from RNAcentral.
AUGGGUUCGCCUACCCGCACACGCCCAAGCAGCAGCAGCGACAAGAGGGGCGGCGCGCCGACGAUGCGGCUCGUGUGGGCGUUCCUCGCCGUGCUGCUGCUGGUCCUGCUCCGCUGCUCGCCGUGCCAAGGCCGCAAGCUGCCGGUGGCGGACCAGGAGCAGGGUGGCAAGGUGAUGCACUUCGAAGGCGGCCUGGUGCUCAGAGUGUCACCGAGCCACGACGGCGAGGCGGCAUCGGCGGCGGCGGCACCGAGAGGGUUCUCGAGGGCCGCGCGGUCCAUGCGGUCCGUGCCGAGCCCCGGCGUCGGGCACUAA